CUCGUAGGCGGUCUUGUAAGUCAGAUGUGAAAUCGUUCUGCUUAACAGAACAACUGCAUUUGAAACUACUUGACUUGAGUACAGAAGGGGAAAACAGAAUUUUCGGUGUAGCGGUGAAAUGCGUAGAUAUCGAAAAGAAUACCUGUGGCGAAGGCGGUUUUCUGGUCUGUAACUGACGCUGAGGAGCGAAAGCUAGGGUAGCGAACAGGAUUAGAUACCCUGGUAGUCC
This 229-nucleotide ribosomal RNA is filed under the name uncultured bacterium. RNAcentral describes it as "partial 16S ribosomal RNA". It matches the Rfam family "Bacterial small subunit ribosomal RNA", at positions 568 to 796 of the family's 1533-position model. The record is from RNAcentral.